This 448-nucleotide ribosomal RNA is filed under the name uncultured bacterium. RNAcentral's name for it is "partial 16S ribosomal RNA". It matches the Rfam family "Bacterial small subunit ribosomal RNA", at positions 330 to 793 of the family's 1533-position model. The record is from RNAcentral.
UCCAGACUCCUACGGGAGGCAGCAGUGGGGAAUAUUGGGCAAUGGGCGCAAGCCUGACCCAGCAACGCCGCGUGAAGGAAGAAGGCUUUCGGGUUGUAAACUUCUUUUAAGAGGGAAGAGCAGAAGACGGUACCUCUUGAAUAAGCCACGGCUAACUACGUGCCAGCAGCCGCGGUAAUACGUAGGUGGCAAGCGUUGUCCGGAUUUACUGGGUGUAAAGGGCGUGCAGCCGGGAAGACAAGUCAGAUGUGAAAUCCCGCGGCUCAACCGCGGAACUGCAUUUGAAACUGUUUUUCUUGAGUACCGGAGAGGUCAUCGGAAUUCCUUGUGUAGCGGUGAAAUGCGUAGAUAUUAGGAGGAACACCAGUGGCGAAGGCGGCUUACUGGACUGUAACUGACGUUGAGGCUCGAAAGCGUGGGGAGCAAACAGGAUUAGAUACCCCAGUAU